This 253-nucleotide ribosomal RNA is filed under the name uncultured bacterium. RNAcentral's name for it is "partial 16S ribosomal RNA". It matches the Rfam family "Bacterial small subunit ribosomal RNA", at positions 524 to 776 of the family's 1533-position model. The record is from RNAcentral.
UACAGAGGGUGCGAGCGUUAAUCGGAAUUACUGGGCGUAAAGCGCACGUAGGUGGCGAUGUAAGUCGGGUGUGAAAGCCCCGGGCUCAACCUGGGAAUUGCAUUCGAGACUGCAUUGCUGGAGUACGGAAGAGGAAGGCGGAAUUCCCGGUGUAGCGGUGAAAUGCGUAGAUAUCGGGAGGAACAUCAGUGGCGAAGGCGGCCUUCUGGUCCAGUACUGACACUCAAGUGCGAAAGCGUGGGGAGCAAACAGG